Molecule: long non-coding RNA, 258 nt
Organism: Saccostrea cuccullata (small rock oyster)
Lineage: Eukaryota; Metazoa; Mollusca; Bivalvia; Ostreida; Ostreidae
Exons: 3
Source: RefSeq, a predicted model, not a curated record
AAAAAUCCGAGUCAGCAAGAGCUCCUUUCUAUUGUUUGUUCUAGACUUUCCUUUUGGCUGAUUGCGAUAUACUUCUUUGAAACAAUGGUUCUACGUAACGCAGUCAGGUGAAUCGACUGGUCCUUUUUAUGCUUAGUGACAUCUAUAUGAAGGUUUACUAAAUUUUGAGAAACACUUGUCAGGACACAAGACUGAAAGAAAGACGUACUAAAAAACUGCCUGAAAAACACAACAAUCAUUAAAGUCAAUGGAUUACCC